GACGAACGCUGGCGGCGUGCUUAACACAUGCAAGUCGAACGGUAAGGCCCUUCGGGGUACACGAGUGGCGAACGGGUGAGUAACACGUGGGUGAUCUGCCCUGCACUUCGGGAUAAGCCUGGGAAACUGGGUCUAAUACCGGAUAGGACUCCUGGCUUCAUGGUUGGGGGUGGAAAGCUUUUGCGGUGUGGGAUGGGCCCGCGGCCUAUCAGCUUGUUGGUGGGGUAAUGGCCUACCAAGGCGACGACGGGUAGCAGGCCUGAGAGGGUGACCGGUCACACUGGGACUGAGAUACGGCCCAGACUCCUACGGGAGGCAGCAGUGGGGAAUAGUGCACAAUGGGCGCAAGCCGGAUGCAGCGACGCCGCGUGAGGGAUGACGGCCUUCGGGUUGUAAACCUCUUUCAGCCAUGACGAAGCGCAAGUGACGGUAGUAGCAGAGGAAGGACCGGCCAACUACGUGCCAGCAGCCGCCGUAA
Molecule: ribosomal RNA, 478 nt
Filed under: uncultured bacterium
Lineage: Bacteria
Description: partial 16S ribosomal RNA
Rfam family: Bacterial small subunit ribosomal RNA
Source: RNAcentral